CGUCUAUAUACGUAUAGCAUAUCAAUAAGCGGAGGAAAAGAAACUAACUAGGAUUCCCUUAGUAACGGCGAGUGAAGCGGGAAGAGCUCAAAUUUGAAAUCUUCAAGGUUUUACCUUGACGAAUUGUAGUUUAAAGAAGUGUUUUCUGUUGGUAGUUUUGGUAAAAGUUCUUUGGAAUAGGACAUCAUAGAGGGUGAGAAUCCCGUAUUUGACCAUUAUUUCCAACUUUGUGAUACACUUUCAAAGAGUCGGAUUGUUUGGGAAUGCAGUCCAAAAUGGGUGGUAAAUUUCAUCUAAAGCUAAAUACUGGCGAGAGACCGAUAGCGAACAAGUACCGUGAGGGAAAGAUGAAAAGAACUUUGAAAAGAGAGUUAAACAGUACGUGAAAUUGUCAAAAGGGAAGCGUUUGACACCAGUGUUGUUUUCUCGAAAAUCAAUUAAAAAUGGCGGGAUUUUGUGUUGUAUUGACUUUAUCAGCUUUCUGCACUUUUUUCCUAUCUUUUUUAAUGCACUUUUCGUUUAACAAGUCAACAUCAAUUUCUUUUGUUGUAAAAGAGUCAUUGGAAGGUGGCUUUCUUUUCGGAGAAAGUGUUUAUAGCCUUUGACUUCUGCAAUCGGAGAGAUUGAGGUCUGCAGCGUAGAUCCUUCGGGGUUAGAUGCAUUUGUGCUAAGCUUAUAGCCUUUCAUAGACAACUUGUUGACUAUGAUCAGUCACGUAGCUUACUCGCUUAUGUCAUUUUACCUACGCUUAGGAUGUUGACGAUCAGCUGAGCGCG
This 776-nucleotide ribosomal RNA is filed under the name uncultured Neocallimastigales. RNAcentral's name for it is "partial large subunit ribosomal RNA". It matches the Rfam family "Eukaryotic large subunit ribosomal RNA", at positions 26 to 627 of the family's 3401-position model. The record is from RNAcentral. Lineage: Eukaryota; Fungi; Neocallimastigomycota; Neocallimastigomycetes; Neocallimastigales.